This 372-nucleotide long non-coding RNA is filed under the name Dromaius novaehollandiae (emu). RNAcentral describes it as "lncRNA (ENSDNVG00000014911.1)". Lineage: Eukaryota; Metazoa; Chordata; Aves; Casuariiformes; Dromaiidae. The record is from RNAcentral.
AAGUUUUGGGGCUGUUUGGAAGGGAAUCAUCAGCUCGCGAGGGACGCGGCUUGCUGCUGCCAGGAACGCGGAGAUAAUUACCUGCCCUUAGCACGGGAGAGCCCAACGAGCGGGAGCCGCCCCUCCUUCCACCUCCCCGGGAUCCCACCGCCGCGUCUGCACGGAGCGCCAAGCGCCGGACCACAGCGGCAGAGGAGGACUGUGGCGUUGCGAGGCUGUGUCGCGUAGGUGACCUUGUUUUUCAGGUUACUGACUCACUGCUGAAGCYGAAAGAUGGRUAGAUCUUCAGGAAGAGAUACUGCGUCCCCUGGCCUGAGAAAGAGCAGGGAAAAGGUAAGGCAAAUUCAUAGGCAGUCCACAAACCGUGUACCU